UUUCCGUUGGUGAACCUGCGGAAGGAUCAUUACAGAGUCCCUGCCCCUCUGGGGUAGACCUCCCACCCGUGUGUAUUCUAAUCAAUUGUUGCUUUGGCGGGCCGCGAGCGUGCCUCGCCCGGGAGCCUCUCCCGGUGUGCCUGCCAGAGGAAACCCAAACUCUGAAUAUUAGUGUCGUCUGAGUACUAUAUAAAUCGUUAAAACUUUCAACAACGGAUCUCUUGGUUCUGGCAUCGAUGAAGAACGCAGC
Molecule: unclassified non-coding RNA, 250 nt
Filed under: uncultured fungus
Lineage: Eukaryota; Fungi
Description: sequence contains ITS1, 5.8S rRNA gene
Rfam family: 5.8S ribosomal RNA (bases 202-250)
Source: RNAcentral